This 853-nucleotide ribosomal RNA is filed under the name Collariella bostrychodes. RNAcentral's name for it is "LSU rRNA". It matches the Rfam family "Eukaryotic large subunit ribosomal RNA", at positions 35 to 921 of the family's 3401-position model. Lineage: Eukaryota; Fungi; Ascomycota; Sordariomycetes; Sordariales; Chaetomiaceae. The record is from RNAcentral.
UAAGCAUAUCAAUAAGCGGAGGAAAAGAAACCAACAGGGAUUGCCCUAGUAACGGCGAGUGAAGCGGCAACAGCUCAAAUUUGAAAUCUGGCUUCGGCCCGAGUUGUAAUUUGUAGAGGAAGCUUUAGGCGCGGCACCUUCUGAGUCCCCUGGAACGGGGCGCCAUAGAGGGUGAGAGCCCCGUAUAGUUGGAUGCCUAGCCUGUGUAAAGCUCCUUCGACGAGUCGAGUAGUUUGGGAAUGCUGCUCAAAAUGGGAGGUAAAUUUCUUCUAAAGCUAAAUAUUGGCCAGAGACCGAUAGCGCACAAGUAGAGUGAUCGAAAGAUGAAAAGCACUUUGAAAAGAGGGUUAAAUAGCACGUGAAAUUGUUGAAAGGGAAGCGCUUGUGACCAGACUUGCGCCGGGCGGAUCAUCCGGUGUUCUCACCGGUGCACUCCGCCCGGCUCAGGCCAGCAUCGGUUCUCGUGGGGGGAUAAAGGCCCUGGGAACGUAGCUCCUCCGGGAGUGUUAUAGCCCAGGGUGUAAUGCCCUCGCGGGGACCGAGGUUCGCGCAUCUGCAAGGAUGCUGGCGUAAUGGUCAUCAGCGACCCGUCUUGAAACACGGACCAAGGAGUCAAGGUUUUGCGCGAGUGUUUGGGUGUUAAACCCGCACGCGUAAUGAAAGUGAACGUAGGUGAGAGCUUCGGCGCAUCAUCGACCGAUCCUGAUGUAUUCGGAUGGAUUUGAGUAGGAGCGUUAAGCCUUGGACCCGAAAGAUGGUGAACUAUGCUUGGAUAGGGUGAAGCCAGAGGAAACUCUGGUGGAGGCUCGCAGCGGUUCUGACGUGCAAAUCGAUCGUCAAAUCUGAGCAUGGG